Molecule: ribosomal RNA, 356 nt
Filed under: uncultured Streptococcus sp.
Lineage: Bacteria; Bacillati; Bacillota; Bacilli; Lactobacillales; Streptococcaceae
Description: bacterial SSU rRNA
Rfam family: Bacterial small subunit ribosomal RNA
Source: RNAcentral
ACGAUCGGUGGCAGUGGUGCAUGGUUGUCGUCAGCUCGUGUCGUGAGAUGUUGGGUUAAGUCCCGCAACGAGCGCAACCCCUAUUGUUAGUUGCCAUCAUUCAGUUGGGCACUCUAGCGAGACUGCCGGUAAUAAACCGGAGGAAGGUGGGGAUGACGUCAAAUCAUCAUGCCCCUUAUGACCUGGGCUACACACGUGCUACAAUGGUUGGUACAACGAGUUGCGAGUCGGUGACGGCGAGCUAAUCUCUUAAAGCCAAUCUCAGUUCGGAUUGUAGGCUGCAACUCGCCUACAUGAAGUCGGAAUCGCUAGUAAUCGCGGAUCAGCACGCCGCGGUGAAUACGUUCCCGGGCCUU